Molecule: long non-coding RNA, 1041 nt
Organism: Gallus gallus (chicken)
Lineage: Eukaryota; Metazoa; Chordata; Aves; Galliformes; Phasianidae
Source: Ensembl
CCUGGAGUGAGGGCGGCGGAGUGGUGUGCGGAUGGGCUCGGUGCGAGCGGGCUACUUCUCCUGCAGGAGCGCCCGGAGCUUCCGCCGGCGUCUGCAGCGAGGGUUUGGGAACAACGCCUUCAAGUUGAACCGGUCCGCAGGUUCAGCGAAGCCGUGCAGUUGGAAAGGGACGGGGUUGCACGAUGGGUACUUUUCUAGGCUUAGAGGAGUUGUUUCUGUAUAGAAAAGCAGGUUCAAGUGACUUCUUUUCUUUUCCUCACGAGUUGUCCGAUAAGGUCCGAUUUAGUUGGAUUGCAGUAGCAUCUAGAGGCCACUCUUGCAUGUGCACGCGUCUGGUGCAAAGGGAGCGUAUGCUGCAGACGUUCGGUGCUCGGUGUCUGAAACGGCUCGGUGUUCUCACAUGCUCGUUGAAAGACUUCUUAGAGAGAUUACUAACAGCUGAACGUGCCGGCUGCACCUCCAGCAGCACUUGAAGCUUCUAACGAAGGACCCACCGUAUUUAAAGCACUCCCUGUACUUCUCAGGUUGGGAAUACACUGCAUCUCUUAGUGCAAUGGAUGCUUUGAAGGAAGUGUUGUCUGCGACCACAAUUAUUGGUAUCUUAAUGACAAAAAAAAGAGCUUUGGCAACCAAGAAUCACUAACAGUUUUCCAAAUGGUGCUGUGCCCACAGUGCAAUGGGGAACACACACUCUCCAGAGGAGAUGCUUAGGGCUGGAGCAUUAACUGGACAAAAUGGAUAAAGAAAGACCCCCAAAACACAGGAUAGAACUUGCAGUAUUUGCUGAACUGUGAAGAAUUUGGAUACAUUCAGUUAAUGAAAGUUUUUGCUUGAAGUUUUGGUUUCAGGAGCAGGGAGAAGGCACAGGAGGAUGCACAGCUCCAAGGGGACCUGUGAAGGAGCUGAGAAGUGAGAAGACCGAAAGACAAGGACGCCCCACACACCAGCCCCUGUGCCACCCCUUGCUGCACAAAGAGAGGAAAAAGCCCACCAGGCUGGUGGUUCCUACUGUUUUGUCGAUGGGAGUAAUGGAUGUCAUGU